Leopardus geoffroyi (Geoffroy's cat) is the source of this 6097-nucleotide long non-coding RNA. RefSeq lists it as uncharacterized. The transcript has 5 exons. The record is from RefSeq and is a predicted model, not a curated record. NCBI's taxonomy places the organism in Eukaryota, Metazoa, Chordata, Mammalia, Carnivora, Felidae.
UGAGGGUGGAGCCUGCUUAAGAUUCUCUCUCUCUCCCCCCCCCGGCUUGCAUGUUCUCUCCCUCAAAAAAGAUUUUUAUUUGUGAAUUUGAAUAAAUGCAAGAACGCUGCUUCCUGGGAAGCGUUGGGAUAAAUGACACUGUCUCCCUCUGGUCUGUGUGUUCGGCCGUCUCAGGUGGAGCGGGAAGGGACCCAGAGGCACCGACAGCGCUUGCCCACCUAGCUGCGUGCACACAGCCACUCACUGCCUCCUCGUGGGCUGUGGGCAACCAGCCGGCCCAGUGCUUAGCCUCUUCUUGUGAAAGCCUCCUUUGUCCUUAGAAACCACUGAGGCAGAGCUGAGCUACCGCUCGCACGGGAUUUUGCACCAAGACAGCUAAUUGCCUUGCUCCUGUGAUCCCAAGUCCUCUGGGGUCAUCUGAACUGACACCCCCGGUCACGGCUUCGGCUGAGUCCCGUGGGUUGUUUGCCUUCUCGGCUUGCAGACGCGGGCAUCCUUACCUGUGUCGGGUGUGGUCCCCACAGGGACCACAGGGAAGGUGAGGGAGGAAGAGUGAGUGGGCCUGCACGGAGACCUCCUGUUGGUGCUCUGACCACACCCUGUUAUCCACCCCUUCCUAGUUUCUUCAGAAUCUCGAACAGGUUUUCCUAGCUUGCACCUCAGCAUCUCCUAAGAGGACGGCAGCGAGGGUGCAGAGGAGGAGCCCGUGGCCAGAGCCUGGCGGGGCUGCUGGAUUGCAGAGUGGCCGCCGUCAGCCAGGAGGCAGGUCUCUAAGGCCAGCAUGCUACUUUUUUAAAUGUUUCAUCUGCUUGCAGAAAAAAGCUUCACGCUGGUAACCGUGGCGGGUCACCUAGGGUGUGUAGUAGGAUUUGAGUUAGAAAGCACCCUGCCCUCCCUGGGCUGCUUUUCUUCACAUGACCACGUGGCACCUCCCAAGAGUGGCCUCGGUCCAGGCCGGAGAAUUCACAGAAGACCCAGGAGCCCUGGGGACAGAAGAUGGGCUGUGGUGGAGACCAGGAUCUGGGUGUGAGCCUGCCCUAUCCUGGUUCCCACUGUGGAUCUCGCCUCGACGGGUUUAACAGGCCAGAUCCCCGAGGUGUCCUACUAAGUGACAGGCAGCGUAUGAAUGUGGGUCCACAUGCCUCAGGAUUUUCCUCCCUGGGACUGCACCACAUGCUGUGGCCUGUGCACUCAGUGCUGCACUUGUCAGGGACGGCCCACCUCUUCACCAACGGGCUGAGGGUUGACAGGCCUCCCUCUUCAUCCCAUUUGCUGUCAGAAUGGGCCUGGGCCAGGGUGGGGUCAGGUGCCCCCAUGUGACCUGCUUUGGGAAAAUGGCAACUUGAGUCGGAUGCACUCAAGUCACCAUGGAGGAGUCACAAAAAACCUGUCUGCAUGGCAGUCUGGCACACUUUCUCGGUGCCACAGUUUCUGCUGUCUGCUCCCCCGGACCCCGCUUCUGGCCUUGGUGGUUCCCCUGACCCCUGCCACGAUUCCCACGUGAAGCAGAUGUGACGGGAUGAACCAUCCCCAGAAUGAGCGUGGGAAGUAAACCAAGAGGAACGAGCCUCUUACCAGCAAGAUCACACAUCCCCAGCAGAGGGUCCCACAAAUCCUCGUGGGUUCCCUGAUCUAGCAAAGCAAAGAAACACCUAGCAACCGUGGUGCCUGCCCCUUACAGCUUCCUUAAGUGGUAACUCUGACCCCGAAACACUCAGCCUUUACUGGCUGUCAGGAACCAGUCGCUUCACGGGGGCUGUCGGGGGAUCCCCACCAGGAGUGGAGUCUGUAAGCAGUCUCCCUUCUUGGGAGGAGCCCAGGCCCGCCAAGCCCUUGCAAGGGAUGUGGGGGACACUGCGGGAGCCUGCCACCACCCCAGCCAGGCAGUCAAGCACAGGACGGGUGGUGUUCUACCAGAAAUUAUCCAAGAAGCAGUCUUGUUCUCUGAGUUGACUGGUACACUGCCAAACACCGUCCACCUCUCUAGAACCAGAGGCCUCCACCCCUCAGUGAGCAGACGCUGUGUCUUCCAAGAGCAAGUUAGGCUGGGGACAGGAGCCCAUCUCCCCGGUUCACCUUGGCUUCCAGCAUAUUUGGCAGCGGCCAGGCCUCUGGUGUCCCCUGGGUCCUCCACCCUGUGCUUGGCCUGGCUGGGGCCUGGCUGCCACCCCCUGGCCAGCCUGAGGUGGUCCUGUGCCCCCUCUUCUGCAGUUAGGCUGAGGGGCAGAGCUUCAGAAGGAGGAGGUGUGGGAGCCCCCACCCCACCCCAGGACCCUCCGCUGCCUGUCCGGCUCCCACCACCCGGCUUUGGGCCUCAGCCAGGGCCGAAGUGCUGGGAGCUCUGUCUGUACCAGGACUGGAAAUGGAGGUGGGGGAGGAGGCAGGGAAGAAAUACAAGGGAAGAUGUUUCAGUUCUCCCUCUUGGCCUCUAUUUUAGGAUUACAGGGUUUCAAAGCAUUUAUUUUUAUUGGAAUUUCAAAUCAAAACAUCGAAGUAAUAGUCUCCAUCCCAAAUGAGGUACAGACAUGUCACAAUAGCAAGAAGAACCCGGUACCCCAAGUAUAGGAACCAGAAAUAGUAAACUGCGUCCCUAACCUUCCACCAUCCCUUUAAAAUGAAGAACAGAGCUCCAAAAAAGAGGCUUCAGACAGACGUUUCCAGUGCGUUCUGGCUUUCUUCCCUGGCCUGCCUGGUUCAGUGUGGACACUUGGCGAAGGGUGAGUGCAGGCUGCACCUCGGCCUGGGUUGGAGCCGUGGGGAGCCGCGUGGGGCGGCCCAUCUCACAGUGCCUGCCUCGGCCUCAGUCGGCCUCACCAAAGACACCUGAAACCCACCGGGCAGCUGGAAAGCAAAAGCUGAGUGAGCUGUGAUCAAGGGCCAGUGUUUUUAGAGCUCUAUGUUCUGGGCCAACCACUUGCUCAUUCAGUAGAUGAGCGGCCAGGUAGGAGAAUGAGGGGCGUGAAGGGGGUCUGCCCACCCCUUCAGCAGGGCAGACCUACACUGGUGAGUGAGUAGUCUGUCCCAGCGGGCCUCCUGCUUGACAGAUCUCUGGGCACCCCAGGCCUGUGGCCUCUGCUAGCCAGCCUGCCUGGGGUGACAGGGCCCACCGCACCCCAUUCCUGAGAAGUAAGAGAGGGGCUGCUGCAGCUGUCACAGGCAGGUGACAAAGUGCAGCUGCUUUGGGGUUAGAUGGUCCAUUGGAGCGCCCUCUCCUCAGGACACCUUGGGCUGAACCGGCUCUUGCUACAGAGGGGGAGGUGGGGGGGGCUUCAGUGCGGGUUGGGGGCGGGGUGUCCAGCUAUGGUAAAGACUCCAUACCUAAGGAACCCUAGACUUCUGGAGCCCCUUCAGCCCAAGGUCGGGGCUGGGGGGCGUAGAGAGAAGCCUGAGGGAGGUGUGGGUUUAAAGGGCUGUCUGGACCUCCCAGGGUGGUGCCCGAGGCCAAGCUCAGCGGGGAGGGCAUGAACUCAUGGCCCCCGCCCCAGGCCACUGUCCUGAGGACAAUGACCUGGGCCUUCCCUGGCUGGGCCCUGGGGGUUUACAGGGUGGAAUGGGAGGAGAGGCGGAUCCGGGCUAUUCAUAGGCGGGGGUUUUAUAGAUCUUUUCCCACCCUUUGGUGCUGUCUGGGAGAUUGAUCGGCUAAUAAGGCAUUUCUGUUCCAGUCCAGAGGGUGUGAAAAAAGAAGGAGGCGGCCAUCAGCCGAGCCCGGGGGCAGAAGGAAAUUCCUGUAAAACGACGUUCCCAGGACCAGCACUGGUAGCUGAGAGCCUCCUGCCAGGAUGGUGGGUGGGGAUCGGGCACCCUGGUGUCGGAGCACGGGUGCAGAAGACCUGCCGGAGCAGCCCACGCUUGGGAGCCGGGCCUGGGAAGGGCUGGUGAUAGCAACAAGACCGGUGUGCGUGUGCGUGUGUGCGUGUGUGCGUGUGCGUGUGCGCGCGCAUGCGUGAUGCAAAGCAGAACGCAGAAAUGCAGGUAAAAGUCUCUCCGGCCGCAGAGUUCCAUCUGUCCCACACAGCGCACGUGAAACUGCCCUGGGGGAGAUAAAAUGAGCCCAGGGCUUUGGCUCCUCAGCCCCCAGGACUGGGAAGGGACGGAGAACUCUCAAAAGGCUCCUCCCGCCACCUGCUCCAGCUCCCUGAGUCACUUCCGACGGCUCUGCCACUUUACGCCGCUGUCACACUGAGGGGGUGCAGGAUGCCGCGGUUUCUCUUUUCUUAAGCCUCCUUGUGCUCCUUCUGCCGGCCUGUGGCGGUGGCUCCUCUGCCGGAGCCCAGCCCAGGAGGCGUUCCUGUCUGUGGGCGGUGCGGGAGGUGCCGGAACCGCAUGUGGUUGGGCCCUGGCAGUACUGCCAAGAGCCCCGUGUUCCAGAAAGUUCUUUUCCGUUCUAACAGUCUUCCCUUGUUGCACCAGGUCUGGCAGAACAGGCCUCGGGGGCAGGAGUGUCCUAGGACUGGAGAGGAUACUCCCGGAGAUGGGAAAGGCAGAAGGAAAGGAAGCCCUCUGGGCUAAGACCUCAGCGCUCCUCAGCCUGAUGCUUCAGGCUCCACCACCCGACCGCCUGAUUUCAGUCUCCCAGGACUUGAACAUCAGGAGCUUGACGGGCCUGGCCCCGCACAGACUGACUCCACAGAUGCACUCCGGUAAGCGCACGUCCACGGCCCCGGCUCUGUGCCCACAUGGGAGCAGAGCGCACACCGAUCUUUCCACGUGACAGACUUUCAAGAUUGGCUCGCAGGAGCUUGACUUCUGUUUGGACGUUCCUGUGGUCUGAACAUCACACCCUUCAGGAGGCAGUAGUGGCACAUAGCUGUAAUAGGCUCUCUUCCCAGAGUAGCAGCAGCCUUCCUACCACCCAGUUCCAAGCAGAACUGCCAGAGCCUUCUGUGGAGAGAACCCCAGCCCAGACUUCAAGAUGCUGACAUUUGGAUGUCUUUCCAGAAACAAACCCCCAGCUAGAGCAAUGGUUCUCCAGCGGAGGGUGAGGGGGGUUCCUCCCAGACAUUCUGGAGAGAGUCUUGUCGCCGCUGGGCUGGCACGUAGUGGGGAGAGGCCAGGGAUGCUGCUAACACCCUCCAGCGCACAUGACACCCCCACAUGGAUGCACCUGCUCUACACUGUCAAUCGCGCCACACUGGAGAAACUCGGCCUCAGGUGUCUGCGCACUGGCUCUCUGCCAAGGGCCCUUCUCUACCUCUUCUGGAUUAGCCGUCGGGCUGUUUCAUGGUACUCAACCUUCUCGAAUGCUAAAGACUGAGCUGACUUACGAUACUUUAUGAAGAUUCACCGGGUUUUCAAACUUCCCUCAGCCUCACGCACAGGUCUGCAGCUGGACUAUUUUGUGAGAAUGCACGGCACAACCUGAAUUUGUGGAAUACUCUAGCUCCUUAUUCACGGCAGCUUCUCUGUGGGAGAGACUUAAAGGUGGUCCAUUCUGAAUGUGACUGUUUCCCCAGAAUGGGUGAAUAUGUGACUGGAAUAACUGGGUGUCUCUGAGGAGCAUUCUCUGGGCCACUUCCUUUCACACCCCAUGAGCAAGGCCAGGCCCACCAUCAUCUCUCUGGCCUGUAAAGCAAGGCAAACUCCAGCAAGGGUCUGCUUCUCCAUUCCCAAGGUGACAGAAUUGGAGACCAGCAGAACAGGAGUUCCCCAGGGAGAAGGAGGGCACAGGCUCCAGGAGGAAGGGUUUGAGUCCCAGCUGCCAGGCUUGAGAAGGCUCCCCUCAGGGCUGUGGUUCCAUCCACAGGUACUGAGGAUAAGGACAGAAGGUCAGAGAUCAGGUGACAAAAAAUGCCACCAAUGCUUUCAUGAUUCAAAAGUGCCUGCUGUUGACUUAUAAUGUUGAAAAAUAAUUAGUUGAAAAACUAAUAUCCUAUCAGUUUCAGGUUUACAUCAUAGUGAUUUAAUAUUUUUAUACAUUAUGAAAUGAUGUGAUAUCUAGUUAUCAUCUGUCAUCACACAAAGUUAUUACAAUAAUAUUGACUAUAUUUCCCAUGCUGUACAUGACAGCCUCAUGGACUUUAUUCAUUUGUUUUACUUUUUAGAUUCCACAUAUAAGUGAAGUUGUAUGAUAUUUGUCUUUCUCUGUGUGACAUAUUUC